Spodoptera litura is the source of this 12963-nucleotide RNA transcript. It is a transcript of the gene named protocadherin-like wing polarity protein stan, with no coding region annotated. NCBI's taxonomy places the organism in Eukaryota, Metazoa, Arthropoda, Insecta, Lepidoptera, Noctuidae. The record is from RefSeq and is a predicted model, not a curated record.
UGUACUCGUGUUAUUGUUCGCGUAGUGGGUGUUAUAAACUCGCGGAUAACUUAUUUCUCACUUACUUUUAUGUGUGUUAUAUUUGUGAAUGUAAUUGUGCAGUGAUUGGUGUGUGUGUAAAUUAUUUUGGAACUUGGAACUUUUGGAGGCUUUUACUUCUGGAACUUGGGUCUUCUAUCCUCCCGUUCGAGUAUAUUUCGUCAGAUGUAAAGGUGUUUCGUGAAGAGUUUCUACACUGCAGAUCAAAAAGAUUAACAAAGACGGAGUUUGGCGAAUCUAAAGAUGGAGAGCCGGAGCAGUUGGGGGUCGCGGCGGCACCGCUGUAGGUGAAUGCCAACCAACAUGACGCCGCCGGCGUGGGUGUUCGCGGUGGUCGCCGUACUAACGCUGGCGACCACUCGCGCCUACCUCAUCCUCGUCCCCGACACCGCUCCGCCAGGACACGUGGUCAUCGACGCCGCCGUCUACAAACUGGGCUCCGAAAGAAACUACAACAUCGAUGUCCACAGAACUGCGAAUUUUGUCCAUCACAUACUCAGAGUCAAUAGAACCAGUGGCCUCGUCACUUUGAGAAAGAGGCUAAGAUGUGACGGAGUGCUCUACCCAAACCUCUUCACUUUCUAUGUAGACUCCACAUCGGAACGCAUACGUGACAUCGACUACUACAGCCUGCCUAUCAGAAUCCUUGUGACUGGCGAAGACUGCAGUAGGAGACAUGCUGAACUGUAUGACAUAGACUUCGAUCGUGUCUACGACCAGAAUGACGCAGCUUUACAAUAUGAAGAUCAACCGAUCAGAGAUAAAAGAGAAGCUGUAUAUCAAGAGAGUAUAGACUGGAGGUUGUUAGAAGGAGAAGAAUUAGUCUCUAGUCAAUAUAAUGUCCUGUCCACGGCGUAUCCGUGGUCGAACAUUAUGUUCGAGGACUUUGUAGCGAGAAAUAAAAGUAGGAGGAAACGAUCUCAAAACGUAAUACCAUUCGAUAUGGCCAUAGAUGUAAAAAUAGCUGAAGCGAAGCAAUGGAUAUCGGAAACAUACGCGAGCUUCGCUAUCCCGACUACGGAUCGAUGGCAAGGGAUUUGUCUGAAGCAAUCGCAGUUUGUGAAUUCUCUUACGGCAUUUUUACCUAGAACGGUUCAAAAGAUGUGUAAAGUGCAGUUUUUAGAUGUGAGUGACCCGAGGUUUAUGAUUGAAGCGAGUCAAGGUGAUUUGGUCGCGAGUGGAGAUAUUUGUAUACAAGAACCUAUGUGGAAAGUGUCGAUACUCUUUACGUUUAACUGUGAAAAGAUAAACAUAGUGGAUUCGGAUCAUAGAUUGAAGAUAGUGUAUCAUCAUCAAGAGCUAAAUGAUACUGAUAUAGCGCGGCGGGUAAAGAGGGAACUUCGGAACCAGUCUCCUUACUUUGAGCAGGCGUUGUAUGUGGCGUCUGUGGCUGAAGAACAACCACCAGGCGUCACCGUCACUACUGUCAGAGCUCGGGACCCAGAAAACAGUCCAGUGACGUAUUCCAUGUCCAGUUUAUUGGAUUCACGGUCCGCUGGGAUGUUCGCCGUGGACUCCAGAACUGGUGUGGUUACUACCCAGGCCAGGCUGGACAGAGAGAGACUCGACGUCCACUAUUUUAGAGUAGUCGCCCAGGAUGACACUUUCCCGCCUCGAAGUGGGACCACGACUUUACAGAUCAACGUACUAGACUGUAAUGACCAUUCGCCAGUGUUUGAGAUGCAACAGUACGAGUCCUCAGUACGAGAGGGAGCUAGUCCAGGAACCACUGUCCUUACUCUCAAGGCCACCGACCAGGAUAUUGGAAAGAAUGCUGAGGUGGAAUAUUCAAUAGACAGUGUGACAGCAGAGACCCUUACAGAGGAUACAAACGAAUCAAUAGAUAAUUCAGAACAGAUAGAGGCUCAAGAUGUCUUCAGAAUAGAUGGGAGGAGUGGCGCCUUGUUGACCAGGUCAACUCUUGACAGGGAGAAGGUGGCUCGGUAUACUGUGAUUGUGAAGGCUACUGACCAAGCCAGUCCUGUGUCUGAUCGGUUGUCUAGCACUGCAACAGUCCACGUGAACAUUUUGGAUGACAACGACAACUAUCCCCAGUUCAGUGAGAAGACAUACACCGUGACUGUUGAUGAAGACAUCAGUGCCAAUGACAACCCCGUCAUCGCUAGGAUUAAGGCGACAGAUGCAGACGUUGGAGCGAAUGCGGCAAUACGUUACGCGAUAAUUGGAGGAAACACACAGAUGCAGUUUUCUAUUGACAGUCUGAGUGGAGAUGUGGCUCUGGUCAAGCCACUGGACUACGAACAAGUCAGAAGCUACCGUCUGGUUAUUAGAGCUCAAGAUGGCGGCAGUCCUUCUCGAUCCAACACCACACAGCUCCUGGUGAACGUAAAGGAUGUGAAUGACAACGCUCCGAGGUUCUACACCUCGUUGUUCCAGGAGUCUGUCAGUGAAAACGUUCCUGUAGGCUAUAGUAUCGUUAGGGUCCAAGCUUACGACGCAGAUGAAGGGAUGAAUGCUGAGAUAACGUAUACUCUAAUGGACAAGGAGUAUAACAACAAUAACGACCUUCCAAUCAGCAUAGACCCUCGAUCCGGUUGGGUUUACACUUCAUCUCAGCUGGAUCGGGAAGUGCAGGCGAAAUAUCAGUUGAUGGUAACAGCAACAGACGGAGGCUCCCCAUCUCGCUCAGCGACAGCCUCAGUAGUGGUAGUGGUACAAGACGUCAAUGACAAUGACCCAGUGUUCUCACCACCUCAGUACGAAGUGGAGCUAGCUGAAGAUGAACCUCCCGGCACUCCAGUUGUCACUCUCACUGCAACCGACGCUGAUGAAGAUAAUCGGUUACACUACGAAAUAACAGGCGGCAAUACUCGUGGCCGUUUUUCCAUAACAUCUCAGAAUGGUCGCGGGCUCAUCACCGUGGCUCAACCUCUGGACUUCAAGCAAGAGAGACGCUACGUCCUAACAGUGACUGCCACGGAUAGCGGUGGCAGAAGUGACACUGCUAUGGUCCACAUUAAUAUAACUGAUGCCAAUAACUAUGCUCCUGUCUUUGAAAAUGCUCCUUAUACUGCUUCGGUAUUUGAAGAUGCUCCAGUCGGUACAACAGUGCUAGUAGUAUCUGCAACAGACAGCGACGUUGGAGUGAACGCGCAGAUCACAUACAGCCUGAGCUCGGAGAUAUCCAACGAAGCAGUCACGCAUCACGACCAGGAGUUUGUCAUCAACCCUCAAACUGGAGCCAUUACUACCAAUAAACUGCUGGAUAGGGAGACUAUGAGUGGCUACCUUUUAACUGUGACGGCUCGAGAUGGUGGUGUACCAUCCCUAUCAGACACCACAGAUGUGGAAAUAUCAGUAGUCGAUGUGAAUGACAAUGCACCAGUCUUCAAGCAACAACUCUAUACUGCUACCAUCAUGGAAGAUGCUUUAGUUGGUACGUCGGUAACACAAGUGAGUGCAACAGACGCAGACGUCGGUUUGAACGGGCGAGUCCAUUAUGAACUGGAGCCUAAGGAUAGGGAAGAGGGGUCGUUUGUGGUAGACCCCGCAUCUGGGGUCAUAAGGACCAAUAAGGCGUUGGACAGGGAGUCUGUAGCGACGUAUGACCUUAAGGCCUUGGCUAUUGAUGGGGGUACUCCGCCUUUGAGUUCUACUGUGAUAGUCCACAUAAAAGUGGAAGACAUAAACGACUCUCCACCAGUCUUUGAGAGCGACUGCCUUACCUUCUACAUUCCAGAGAACAGUCCAAUAGGCACCACUGUAGGGGAGAUAUAUGCCCACGAUCCUGACGAGGGACCCAAUGCUGUAGUGCAUUAUUCUAUCAAAGGUGGUGACGACUCCAAUAGCUUCUCCUUAGAAACUCGCCAAGGUUCUGAUAAAGCUGAACUGGUAACCAUGGUAGACCUGGACUACGAAAGUCCUCGGAAGAAGUACGAGCUGAUCAUCCGAGCAGCCAGUCCUCCAUUGUGGAAUGACGUCAGAGUGGAGAUUUUGGUGACUGAUGUCAAUGACAACGCUCCUAUGAUGAAGGACUUCCAGAUCAUAUUCAAUAAUUACAAGGAUUGCUUCCCUGUGGGACCCUUCGGUAGGGUCCCGGCUUAUGAUGCUGAUGUUACUGAUAAGCUACAAUACCGCAUCCUGUCUGGUAACAAUGCGAACCUGGUACUACUGAAUGAGACCUCGGGGGAGAUGACACUGUCGCCACAACUCAACACCAACGUACCCAAGCUGGCCACCAUGGAGAUAUCUGUUACAGAUGGAGUGAACGAAGUAAAAGCAAUGAUGCAGCUACAAGUCCGUCUAAUAACGGAACAGAUGCUCUUCAACUCGAUCACCGUACGACUCAACGAUAUGACGGCUGAACAGUUCCUGUCGCCACUCCUUGGGUUCUUCAUCGAUGGCCUCGCUGCUAUCAUACCGUGCCCCAAGGAAAAUAUUUAUAUCUUUAGUGUUCAGGACGACACAGACGUAACAGGGAACAUACUGAACGUAUCGUUUUCCGCGCGGCGACCGGACGCGGAAGUGGGCGUGGCCGGCGAUACGUCGCCGUACUACUCACCCACACAUCUAAGGGAACGAGUGUACCUACACAGAGCCACGCUAGCCAGGCUCGCUACUGUGCAGGUCCUUCCAUUCGACGACAAUGUGUGCGUACAUGAGCCGUGCCUGAACUACGAGGAGUGCCUGACAGUGCUGAAGUUUGGCAACGCGACCGGCUUCAUCAACAGCGACUCCGUACUGUUCCGCCCGAUAUAUCCUGUCACCACCUUCUCUUGUCAGUGUCCUCAUGGGUUUACAGGGUCUCGAGAACACUACAUGUGUGACACGGAGGUGGACCUGUGCUACUCCUCGCCCUGCAUCAACAACGGGACCUGCGUCCGGCGCGAGGGGGGGUAUACCUGCGUCUGCGCGGCUGGGUAUACUGGAGUAAACUGCGAGACAGUCCUAACAUCCGCGAGCUGUCCCUCGCAGUGGGCCGUGUGCCGGAGUGGGUCGCAGUGCGUGUCGGUGCGGGAGGGGGGGUUCGUGUGCCAGGGAUGUGCCAUCGACGCCGACCACACCACUCCGCUCUGUGAACUCAGGGCCAGGAGCUUCCCUGCAUCGUCAUUCUUGACCUUUCCAGGGUUGAAACGGAGAAAUAGACUUAAUUUGAAGUUGAAGUUCGCAACCCAAUCUCCAAACGGUCUCCUCCUCUAUAACGGGCGAUACAACGAGCGUCACGACUUCCUCGCGCUAGAGACCAUUAGCACCGGCGCCGGCGCAGGGGGCGGGGCCGGGCUACGGUUCACGUUCGGGCUCGGAGGGGGGAAGGUUGACGUCACCGUCGCUGGCAACGUGGCUGACGGCAACUGGCAUACUGUGGAGAUUGAUUAUUAUAAUAGAACUGCCACUCUAAUUCUGGAUGACUGCGACAAAGCUCUCUCAUUGGCCGGGGCAGCUGACUUUGGCAUCAAGUACGCAUGCGCCAACUUCACCAGAAAGGUUUUACCGCCACGAUGUGAAAUACCUACGGAGACUUGUCACAGAUUCCUAGACCUAACAGGCCCUCUCCAGCUCGGUGGUCUUCCAAACAUCCCCAGCAGCUUCCAGGUCAAAAAUAAGGACUUUCAAGGCUGCAUAUCGGAUCUAUACAUCGACCAUAAGUUCAUAGACUUGAAUAGUUUCGUAGCUGACAAUGGAACACUGGCUGGCUGUCCGGAAAAGAGGUCGCAAUGUAGCUCCGCUCCGUGCUAUAAUGGCGCCGAAUGUAAAGACCUUUGGGAUACCUACCUUUGUGAAUGCACUGAAGGGUAUACCGGGAAGGACUGUGCUGACUCAACUCUCCCACCAUGGCGGUUCAGUGGAGACGGUAUGUUAUCAUUCAACCCACUCCUGCGGCCGAUACAGCUCCCCUGGCUCAACGCGCUGUCUCUCCGUACUAGGCAACAGGACGCGUUCCUCAUGUCCAUACAGGUUGGACAGAACAGCACUAUACUGAUUACUCUAAAAUCCGGCCACCUCCAUUACUCCUACAACGGCGAAUCAAUGUUCCUUCCAACCACUAUUCUAUCGGACGGCGCCUGGCAUCGCAUCGACAUCAAAUGGCUCGGUACCGAUAUCUCAGUCACCGUCGACUAUGGACUCAGAACUGUACUCCUGCCAAUGCUAGCCAAUAAGAUUCAAGGACAGUAUAUUGGGAAGAUCCUGAUUGGUGGACCGGAUAGCACGGCGGGGUUACUAGCGUCUGAGGUUGGGUACUUUGAAGGAUGUAUUCAGGAUGUAAGAGUGGGAACAGCGCAGUCUCUUCUCAAUCGACCAACAGUGAGAGAAAACGUAAGGGACGGGUGUCAAUCACGAGCUGACUGUAUGCUGUCCAUCUGUCCACCCUAUAGUACGUGCGUGUCGUCGUGGGACAGUACGGAGUGCGCGUGCGCCGCGGGCCGCGUGGGCGCGCACUGCGUGCCGGCCUGCGACCUGCGCCCGUGCGGCCCGCGCGCCCACUGUCGCCCGGACGACUCCGACCGGGGGUACUCCUGUACCUGCGAGGACGGGUAUAUGAUGACUUCGUCUGGCUGCGUGGCGGCGGGCGGCGGGCAGUGCCCGGGCGGGUGGUGGGGGGCGCGCGCGUGCGGGCCGUGCGCCUGCGCCGGCCGCGGGUACCAUCCGCACUGCCACGCCACCACCGGGGAGUGUCGCUGCAAGGAGAACCACUACAAGCCAGAAGGUUCCGAAGAUUGUCUACCCUGUCAGUGCUACGCGGCGGGGUCAGUGAACUCUUCAUGUGAAGUACUAACUGGACAGUGUUACUGCCGCGCCGGGGUCAUUGGCCGCGCCUGCGACUCCUGCGCUAAUCUAUACGCUGAGGUUGCGCCUAAUACUGGCUGUGAAGUGGUGUACGAUGGAUGUCCUCGCUCCUUCUCGCACGGCGUGUGGUGGCCGCGAACCAAAUUCGGAAUCGAAGCCGUCACUGACUGUCCAACUGGUACAAGUGGUAAAGCGACGCGAAUGUGCGAUGAAACACAAGUGGUGCCCUGGCAGGAACCUGACAUGUUCAACUGUACUACAUCCACCUUCUACCAGUUGAGGAAACAGUUAAGCAAGAUCGAAACUGGUGAGUUAUCAGUGAACACGUUCGUCGGCGUCCGACUGGCCGCCGACUUGACCUCUGCCUGCGAACAAACUCCUCAGUUAUACGGGGCUGAUGUACUGGUCGCUGAGGGAAUACUCCUUGAAUUACUGCAGUAUGAGAUGAAGCAAGCUGGAUUGAACCUUACGCAUAGUCAGGAUAAGGAUUAUGUUAGGAACGUGAUAAAAUCAGCGAAUACAAUCCUAAACGAGCAGUACACGAAACAAUGGUCCCGUAUCCGCGAGCUGACAGGUCACGGCAUGGAACUUCUACUGCAACGGUUCGACAACUACAUCGCAGUGCUAGCUGAGAGCCAACACGAUACUUAUACCAGUCCCUUCGAAAUUGUCACUAGUGAUCUUGUAAUCGGCGUAGACAUAGUAACAGCAGAAUCGAUAUACGGCUUCGAACCGACUCAGCUAAAUCGAUACAACAUCGAUACCUACACGACCGAGCGAGUGGUUCUACCAGACACAUCGUCCUUCAUACAUUCUCCCAUACAAACUCCUAUAUACCACGCUAAUGGGAAAAUACAUAAACAUAGAAAACCUUCCAGUCCUACAGUUUCAUUCCCAAAGUACAAUAAUUAUGUGAAGAGUAAGAACAAGUUUGACAAAUAUACGAGGGUGCUGCUGCCUUUGGAUCUACUUGGAAUUACUAAUAAUAAUAUUCAAGAAAACCUCGAAACAAACUACGAAUCUCGCGCCGUAUUCUCCUACCUCCAAUACUCCCGUAACACGUCACAAAUGAUGCCUCUUCGGAUGGACGAGUCAGUCAGUCAACGGUGGGGAGUCAACAUCACUGUCGGCUCCCCCAUCAUACAGCUAGCACUGUUUGUACCGGAGUACGUAUGGACUAAGGAGGCCAGUGAAGAGGAUAAUUCGCUUGAAAACAGCUUGGAGGAUGUUGAAGGUAUUGUCUAUGCCAACAAAGGCAACCACCAUCAAAUGAACAACCACGUCAAUCAGAACUCCCAACCGAAAAACACGUGGCCGCUCGACGACCCACAGAUACAAGACAACCACGGCCCAGUAGUCAUACAACCAACAUUCAAAAAACAAGAGAAAUCAUACGCCAACGAAGAUUUUCAAGAAAACGAAUCGUCUUACGUCGAGGACAAAAUAGAAACCAACGAAGGACCUAAAGUGAUGGCGCUAGUGUCGGAAAUGGGGAACUCUACUAAGGACGGUGGCAAAAAGAAGUUGAUCUAUAAAAGCUUGAGUGGCAUUAGGUUGAAGAGACCCGUUAGACUGCAGAUGUGGCUGGAUAUUGAUCGGGAGACGUUUGGAUCUAGGACCAACCCUCAAUGCGUGCACUGGUCUACUUUUAGAGGAUCUGGAGAAUGGUCUCGAGUAGGUUGUCACACGGAGAUCGACUACGAUUGGUCCCCAUACUCCAAUGAACCGCUGCUUAUCAACUGUACCUGCAACCAUCUGUCCACCUUCGCUGUACUCGUUGAUGAGGUGGAUAUUGAGUUCAUCCCAGAACCCUCCCUCCUGGAAUCAGUAACAUCAUACACAGCCUUCAGCAUAUCCCUACCACUGCUCCUGAUCACAUGGCUGGCUCUCUGCCUGAUGCGAGGCGGCGCUGCUACUGUCUCCAACUCCAUACACAAGCAUCUCAUCUUCUGCGUGUUUAUGGCUGAACUGCUGUACGUCAUCGCUUUGAAAGCCAGGACUUCUUUGGUGCAAAAUGAAUUCGUGUGCAAGGUGGUGGCGAUGUCGCUGCACUACUGGUGGGUGUGCGCGCUGGCGUGGUGCGCGUGCGACGGCUGGCAGCUGCGGCGCCUGGUGCGCGAGCUGCGCGACGUCAACCACGCCGGGCUGGCCGCGCACCUCGCCGCCGCAUACGCCGCGCCCGCCGUCGUACUCGCGCUCGCUGCCUCGCACCACCAGCAUCAGUACGGGAACGCGCUCUUUUGCUGGGUGAGCUGCCACGAGCCGGUAGUAUGGUGGGUGGUGAUACCGGCCGCGGUGUACGCGGGGGCCGCGCUCGUAUUCCUCGCCGGAGCCACGCGCGCCGCCUUCACUGUACGAGACCAUGUUAUUGGGUUUGGAAAUCUAAGAUUACUGCUGGGAGUGAGCGUGGUUUGCGUCCCCCUGGUGGUGGUGUCGUGGGCGAGCGCGCUGUUGCUGGGCAGCGAGGUGGGGGGGCGGCGCGACGCGCUCAGUGCCGCGCUGGCCGCCGCCGUCGCUGCACACGCCGCUGCGGCUGCGCUAGGGUACAUCGCCUUCAAUAUACGCGUCAGGGAUAAUCUUAAGAGGACGGUACUAAGAUGUUUGGGCAAGAAAGUGCCUCUAGUCGACACAUCAAUCAUAGUCAGCAGCAGUGCUCAAAACUUAUCACAAGUUAACAGGUCUGCCCUGGCGUAUCAUAGUAGUACGGAGCCAGGACGCCAGAUGAGAAAUAUAGGAAUAUCAGCAUCAUCCACCACUUCUAGAUCUACUACUAAAACUAGUUCCAGCCCUUAUAGUCGCAGCGAUGGACAACUUCGACACACAAGUACUUCAACAUCCAACUACAAUACAAGCGCGAGUGACAUGCCCGCGUACUUGAGAGGAUUCGACUCCUCCCUUCAUACUAGAAAAGAUGAUGAGGGUCGUCGUCGUCGCAAAGCGGUGACAGAUGGUGAAACGACAGGAGAGACUGGUGAGGAAGCCACAGAGGCUACUGAUAGUGACAGUGACGGAAGCGCCAGGAGUUUGGACCUCGCCUCCAGCCACUCCUCUGAUGACGACGAGACCAGCACUCGAAGAUCUAGUCAUCCACCUUCAGCUAACAGAGAUCGAGCCACCAGCGGCAGUGUUGCCAGCUAUUUACCGAAUAUUACAGAAGGAGCACCGCUAGCCAUUCAACCAAGAUGGCCGUCACAUAUACGAGAAGAAUCAAACCGACCAGAAAUGGGUAGAUGGUCACAAGAAACAGCAUCGGACAAUGAAGGUAACAAUGGAGGUAUGGCGUCUCCAUCUCCCAACCCACUGCCCAACCCUGACCUGACGUCUGACGUGUACCAGCUCAGCAGACAUCGGAUGAAGCCUUCGAUACUGGAGAACGUCCACGAUACUUACGUUGCGAGUGUGGACGCAUCUAGAUUACCACUUGAUAAUAGAUACGGCGUAAUGGAUGACGAACUCAUGUACGGGGUGCUCCCAACGGACACAGAAAAACAAAUGCAGUAUGACCCUAACUAUCCCAUAUCACCGACUAUGUACAGACUGCCAGGCAACCCUUACGGAUCCAAAACCUACCUCCCUUCAAGAACCUCAGACUAUGGGUUCAGCCCCACAAAAUAUUUAACGGGCGACCCCAACGUCUAUGGGUCUAGGGACUUCAGAGACUCUGGAGUGUCCACCAGAGAACACGAUGGGUACCCGCCGCGGGAUUUUCGGGAUUCUGGCAUAGCCACCAUGUUGAAAAAUGACUAUCAAAGAAAGAUGGACGGUCAUUAUGGUGCAGAUUAUACGGACAGAAUGUCUGAGGGAUCAGAUAAGCAUCAUGACAAAUAUUUGUUCCCGUAUACAGCUGAAGAAGAUCACGCACACUUGCGUGGCAUCAACCAGGCACCGCAAGUCCGUAGUAGUGAGAUGGCACACCCAGCUGAUAAUCAACAGCAGAUGGGGGCGCCACUGGCGAGUAUGGGCGAGACGAGCGAAUGGUGGCGGUUGUAUGAGAAACACUCAUUGUAAUCAUCUUUUGCUUUGCUAACCUGGUGGUGUUGCCGCGCAAUCAUCUUCAACCAUUUAGGGAGGAGGAAAUCUACUACUGAAGACGAUGCAGAAACGAGAGUGUGACGACGUUAAAUAGUACAAGAUUUCCAAUGAAUCUCAAUUAGUUAUAAUUUAAUAUUAAAACUUCUUCGUAAUUUUAUAACGAUUAGUGUUAAUUUAUGCAAAGACUGUCGUUCAAUCAGUACCCACUGCCAUAGUGUAGAGUAUCGAGUAUUUAUUUUGAAAUUAUUGUCUAUGCUUUAAGUAGUAAGUAUAGUGGAACUGAAAUAGAAUUUAAUGUAUUGAAUACUCAUUUUUUGUCGGGUUUAAUGUUUGAAAGUUGAUUCGUGUGUUUAAGUUUUAGGGGGACGUAAUCAGUAAUCACACAACUUGUGAACAAAUAGGUAUUUUACCCACUCAGAUCUACUGGCGUCUAUUUAUUCUCAUUUAGGACCUAUAUCACAAUAGUUCAUUAAGUUUUAUAAACUUAACUAACACAGUUAAUAUGGAAAAUACUUCAAUACACCUUGUUGUGUGAAUACGCUAUACGCCCAAAGCCCUAAGAAUCUCACAAAAAUGCUCAGCGAUUAAGCAAAAUGCUACAAUCACGAUUACAUACCUCUACUUAUAAAGAUGUGUACAUAAAUACUAUCUAGAUAUUAUCUUUAUCAAUACACUCAAAUGUAGUAGAAAAUUUAUAAAGAAUUUAUUUUAGCGUGCGUUCGUGUAGAAAUAUUGCAUGCCUAUCGAAGUAAUAAUUUUAUUAAAUAAUGACAUCCAAAGUCAGUCUUGUAAAUAUUUAAGUUAGCUUUGGAGUGAACGUUUACCGACUUUUAUUCAAAUACUAAAGUAUUCUCGUACAUAAGUAUACUCAUGAUUAUGGGCCCUGGCCUGGCUUGAAAUUGAUCGAGUAAACUUGUCUAACAUUUAUGUGAAUAAGUCGUAAACAGAACUUAAUUAAUUAACCAACAUUUUUUGAUUUUUUUAUCAUCAUCUUACCAAUCAAAAACAUACGCCUUUCUAUACAACAACACAAGAAAAUUAAUAAAAUUCGAUAAACUUCACUCCAUAUAAUGUAGUGCAAAAUAUGAAUUACUUUUAUUUUUAUAUAAGAAAACCAAAACUAUCGUUUGUAAACAACGUUAGAAUAAGAUUAUGUAGGAAUGAUAAUGUUUGUGUAACUGAGAAUGCAUUUUACAUUAUUUACUUGUGUGAGAGUAUUAUUUUUCACAUUGAUCCUAGCGUUUAUAGGUGUCUUUACCUUAUUCAUUGUAGAAAAAAAAUUAAGAUUUGACAAAAAGAAUCCGUUCUUUUAUUGCUGAAUGUUUGUUCUUGGAAUUGGAGUUGGAAUUGGAAUAAUAAUAAAAGAGUAUGUAUCAUUCUAUUUCCGAAGUUCUCAUAAAACUAUGUAAAUAGCGUGUUGUGUGCAUUCCUAGCGUUUUAACGAAGAGUCCACCUAUUUUGUAAAUAAUAGAUUUUUACACUUUUAGUAGUUAAUUAGGGACUAUAAUAAUAAUAGUGGAAUAUUAUGUGAAAGCUUUAUUUAGAUAUUCUGUAGUGUCAGAUUGCCAUAAUUAAUAUUUAAUGAGUUCGUAGCUGCACUAUGAAUGCGAACAUAGAUGAUGGAUAUUUUUCAACAGAUCUGCUACUGUUUGCUGUUUAGUGAAAUCAGGCGUUUCUUCACAUUGAUAUAAUAUUAAAAGUGGCAAUUUUAUUCACUUAAACUUAACUCUAUUGUGUGUUCAUGUAGUCGUAAUAUUUACUUGUCUACGCUUUACUUUCUAUAAACUAUAUAUCUAAUUUAUAUUAUUAUGCAAUGUUUGUCCAGAACAAUAAUUCUAGGAUUUAACAGCAGAUUCAAAAACCCUCUUCCUAAUUUAAAUAAAUUCCGUUUAUUUUGCUCAAUGUAACAUUUAAAUUAUUUUACACACUUACGUAAGUGAUUCUAAAUUAUAUUGCCUUGUAUAAAUUGCAUUUGCCACUUUUACGGUUUACCCAAGUAUUCGGCUCAUUUUUAUAUUUAACAUUCCAUUUUGUGAUAUCUUAAUUAUCUUUCACCAUUUUCUAUAUAUUGUACCUUUACAGGCAAUGUUUAUAUAGUGGUACAAAACAUUUGAAUUGUUUUAUAAUGAAAUAAAAUAUUUUAUU